UCCCUUAUAGCUCAGUUGGGAAAGAAUCUGCCUGCAGUGCAGGAGACCCAGGUUCAAUUCCUGGGUUGGGAA
This 72-nucleotide transfer RNA is filed under the name Bos taurus (domestic cattle). It matches the Rfam family "tRNA". From Rfam's summary of the family: Transfer RNA (tRNA) molecules are approximately 80 nucleotides in length. Their secondary structure includes four short double-helical elements and three loops (D, anti-codon, and T loops). Further hydrogen bonds mediate the characteristic L-shaped molecular structure. tRNAs have two regions of fundamental functional importance: the anti-codon, which is responsible for specific mRNA codon recognition, and the 3' end, to which the tRNAs corresponding amino acid is attached (by aminoacyl-tRNA synthetases). tRNAs cope with the degeneracy of the genetic code in two manners: having more than one tRNA (with a specific anti-codon) for a particular amino acid; and 'wobble' base-pairing, i.e. permitting non-standard base-pairing at the 3rd anti-codon position. RNAcentral also lists the same sequence under 4 other names. Lineage: Eukaryota; Metazoa; Chordata; Mammalia; Artiodactyla; Bovidae. The record is from Rfam by way of RNAcentral.